RNAcentral lists this ribosomal RNA (253 nucleotides) under uncultured bacterium. RNAcentral describes it as "partial 16S ribosomal RNA". It matches the Rfam family "Bacterial small subunit ribosomal RNA", at positions 524 to 776 of the family's 1533-position model. The record is from RNAcentral.
UACGGGGGGGGCAAGCGUUGUUCGGAAUUACUGGGCGUAAAGGGCUCGUAGGUGGCCAACUAAGUCAGACGUGAAAUCCCUCGGCUUAACCGGGGAACUGCGUCUGAUACUGGAUGGCUUGAGUUCGGGAGAGGGAUGCGGAAUUCCAGGUGUAGCGGUGAGAUGCGUAGAUAUCUGGAGGAACACCGGUGGCGAAGGCGGCAUCCUGGACCGACACUGACACUGAGGAGCGAAAGCCAGGGGAGCAAACGGG